Molecule: long non-coding RNA, 597 nt
Organism: Coturnix japonica (Japanese quail)
Lineage: Eukaryota; Metazoa; Chordata; Aves; Galliformes; Phasianidae
Source: Ensembl
GCUAACCUGCUUGUUCAUGUUAAUUCAUGUUGUAUUCCUAUUUUCUUUCUCCAAAAUAGCAAUUAAUUUCUAGGCAAGGUCCAAAGUCUUCUUCAGAAAAGCCCAGACAUGUUGGCAGAAGCCCUUGAGAAAGAUUUAUACCUGCUUCAUGUUCGUGUUACUAUUUUCUCAUUAAAAGGCAAAAGGAAUUCCAGAUUGCAGUUAAUAAUAGAAGCUGAAGAGAUUGUUGUUUGGUGACAAGCCUACCCACCAACAAAUCUAACGGGUAUAUUUCUGGCUUUAGAAGGUGAAAAUUUGCAAUGUUGUUGUGAAUGGAGGCUGAACUUGAAAGUCAAGAACAUCACUAAAAAAGUUAUUUUAUAGUAGUAUUUCAUCCAUUUUGUUCUGUGUAGCUGAAGAUUAUCAGCACAUCAUGUUGUUAAUUCUGUAAUGGCAGCUCCAGUGUACAAUCUGCUUAUCUUGUAGUAAGUGGAUAGUAUAUUCAGUUUUAAAGAGAGAAUUGUUUCACUUUUGGUGACUGUUUUCAAGUAGCAUGUGAUUGUUUCACACACAAAUUUCAUUUAGAUUUUCUUUAAUAAACAUUUUGCCAAAUCUGCA